GAGUUCAUGCCCUUCGGGGUAGAUCUCCCACCCUUUGUAUACUAUACCUUUGUUGCUUUGGCGGGCACUUACCAGCCGAAGCCAGUAGCUAGGCGGCCCGCCAGAGGACCCAAAACCCUGAAUAUUAGUGUCGUCUGAGUAAAAAGUUUAAUAUUUAAAACUUUCAACAACGGAUCUCUUGGCUCU
This 186-nucleotide unclassified non-coding RNA is filed under the name rhizosphere metagenome. Its description in RNAcentral is "partial ribosomal RNA internal transcribed spacer region". The record is from RNAcentral.